GAAGUGAUUCUGUCUAAGCUUUAAAGUACUCAUCAUCGUUACAGUGAAAAACUAUUUCAACGUGUGGACUAAUCUUAACAGCUGUAGAAGCACUAUCUGGAUGAAAGUCCUUUUAUAACAGCAUGAAUGCCAGUUCUUUCAGGAUCCAGACUUGCUUGUAAGAUAUCAAUCAUCUCUGUCAAGCAACUCAAGGAAGGCUUUCUUUGGAUGAGUGGUAGUACGCCAUUAUUUUCCUCACUUUCCAUGGAGUUACUUUCUGGUACAAAAAAGCUGAGACAGAAAUAGAGGAAUACAACUGGAUGCUCAUGCCAUACCUGAGGGCUUGACCUGCCUCAUUGUUGCAGUGCCGAAGGCUUGGUUGAUCAGCAUCCGUGAUGAGGGCUAUGAGAGCGCACAGAUAGCUGGAUCAAAGGGUAAUCUCUCUCUUUUAUAUAACUGCUGAGCC
Molecule: long non-coding RNA, 445 nt
Filed under: Dromaius novaehollandiae (emu)
Lineage: Eukaryota; Metazoa; Chordata; Aves; Casuariiformes; Dromaiidae
Description: lncRNA (ENSDNVG00000001090.1)
Source: RNAcentral